AGUGAACGCUGGCGGUAGGCCUAACACAUGCAAGUCGAACGGCAGCACAGUAAGAGCUUGCUCUUACGGGUGGCGAGUGGCGGACGGGUGAGGAAUACAUCGGAAUCUACUUUUUCGUGGGGGAUAACGUAGGGAAACUUACGCUAAUACCGCAUACGACCUACGGGUGAAAGCAGGGGAUCUUCGGACCUUGCGCGAUUGAAUGAGCCGGUGUCGGAUUAGCUAGUUGGCGGGGUAAAGGCCCACCAAGGCGACGAUCCGUAGCUGGUCUGAGAGGAUGAUCAGCCACACUGGAACUGAGACACGGUCCAGACUCCUACGGGAGGCAGCAGUGGGGAAUAUUGGACAAUGGGCGCAAGCCUGAUCCAGCCAUACCACGUGGGUGAAGAAGGCCUUCGGGUUGUAAAGCCCUUUUGUUGGGAAAGAAAAGCAGCAGGUUAAUACCCCGCUGUUCUGACGGUACCCAAAGAAUAAGCACCGGCUAACUUCGUG
RNAcentral lists this ribosomal RNA (492 nucleotides) under uncultured bacterium. RNAcentral describes it as "partial 16S ribosomal RNA". It matches the Rfam family "Bacterial small subunit ribosomal RNA", at positions 29 to 507 of the family's 1533-position model. The record is from RNAcentral.